CCGAACUGCUUCCGCCAGACGACGGCGUGGUUGAUCAUGGCGAGGGCUUCUUUGACUUUGAAGUCGCGGGCGCGGAGGAACUUGAGGAGGACGGUGUCGCUCUUCUCGUCGCCGAGGAGGGGGACGCCCCAGAUGAAUACUUCCUCCGGCGGCGGCGGCGGGGCUUCCGGCUCUGCUGCAGUGACCUCUUCAGCGGGAGGCGGUGGCGAGACGACCGGGACUAACGUCUCCUCGAUCACAACCUUCUCCUCAGACACCGCCGCCGGCUCCUCUGCUGCUGCUGGGGGCACAGCCACUUCCUCCGCAGGCUUCUCUGUUGCUGCUGGGGGCACAGCCACUUCC
Molecule: unclassified non-coding RNA, 342 nt
Filed under: Hevea brasiliensis (rubber tree)
Lineage: Eukaryota; Viridiplantae; Streptophyta; Magnoliopsida; Malpighiales; Euphorbiaceae
Source: RNAcentral